Rhododendron vialii is the source of this 1287-nucleotide long non-coding RNA. RefSeq lists it as uncharacterized. NCBI's taxonomy places the organism in Eukaryota, Viridiplantae, Streptophyta, Magnoliopsida, Ericales, Ericaceae. The transcript is spliced from 3 exons. The record is from RefSeq and is a predicted model, not a curated record.
CCAUUCUUUAGUCCCAAUUACCACUUUUUGCCGUCCCAAAAUUUUUGUCCCACUUUAGAACUAAAUGGCUAGAAGUCAAGGAAUUUUCCAUUUUACCCUUCCUAUUAAUGUUGCAUCAAUUUUACUCCUAAAAAGAUUCAAGGUAAAAUUGGAAAAUCAAGUGAUCAAACAUGCAAUUAUUAUGUCUCCUUAUUAAUUUAGAAUCCCGAAAAGGGGGUAAAUAAUGGGGACGGAGGGAGUAGCAAAACUCGAAAAUUUCUUGUCAGAGCUCCACAAUAAUGUACAUUGAUUACUCAAGUUGAUAACUUAUAAUAUUUCAGUCUAAUUAAACUAUGAUCCAUACUUCAUUCAGAAACAACAGUAAGUUGAUAAGGAAAGAGACCCAGGAUGUAAGUUUAGAGUCAAAUCACAUCUGCAAAUCGGUCACGACAAAACACUUGAUCCACCACUAAAUACCAUUUCUUACUGAACGAAUGAGUCAACUUACUAUUCCUAUCUAAAAUAGGAUUUGCACUCAUCAAGCACUACUCCAACAAGGUCUUUCAAUAUAUAAGCAGAUUCCCUAGGUACAAUUUAGAACAUAGUUCAUUCAACUAUAUGCACAUUUCCCGCGAUUUACAAGCAACAAGGAGUUGACGACGAAUUUGUUUUGGAGACAUGUAUAAAGACCAAGCAAAAUAGUUAAAAACUGCCCACUCAUCUUCCCAUCACUCACGAGCAAACCCCGGAUCCACCACUAAAUACCAUUUCCAAUCUGGCAGAGAAGUCAACUAAGAAUUCAUAGUCAGAAUAAGGGUCUGCACUUAUCAAUUACACCUCAAUUAAGGUCUUUAGGCACAUAGGUAGAUUAAUCCAAUCAAACAAUUAAAAAGUACCACCAGCAAACUACAGAUCCACCAUUAAGUACCAUUACCAAGCUUAAAAAAUAUGUCAACCAAAAAUUCAAAGCUAAAAUUAGGGGUUUUUUACUGGUACAAAAAAAAAAAUUACCGUUUGCAAUCACCAAAAGCACGACUUAAUGAAGGUCUUUAGGCACCUAAGUAGAUUCAUCGAAUCAAACAAUUAAAAAGUGCCCAAAUUUAUAUCACAGAUCCACAAUUAAGUAACCAUUUCCUGGCUAAAAGGGAUGUCAACUAAAACUCCGAGGCCAAAAUUAGGGUUUGCAAUCGUCAAUAAGCACGGCUUUAUUAAGGUCUUCAGAUUCAUAGGUAGAUUCAUCCAAUCAAACUACAACAAAUCAAUAUGGUUUUUAAAGGAAAUAGAAAGUUCUUAACAAACGAAGAAUUC